GGUUCCAUGGUGUAGCAGUUAGCGUAUCUGCUUUACACGCAGAAGGUCCUGAGUUCACGCCCCGGUGGAGCCA
This is a non-coding RNA of Pteropus alecto (black flying fox), 73 nucleotides long. Lineage: Eukaryota; Metazoa; Chordata; Mammalia; Chiroptera; Pteropodidae. The record is from Rfam.